GUCAUGGGCUUCUCCCUUCUGUUGUUCUUCAAUGGCUAAAUCUCUCUUCUUCUUCUUCAUCCUGUUUUCCCUACCCAUCAACACUAGCACCAAUCUUCUUCUUCUUCUCACUCUCCAUCGUUUGCCCAUUACCGGUCUUCACCUUCUCCUCAUGUUCCUUCACUCUCUUUUAUAGCUUUCACUCUCCUCGCCGGUUCUCCCGGUAACUUUGGAUACCCUCUUUCUUUCUGUUCAAUUCAUUCUUCAACUUUCUGGAGUACUAGAGGAGAAAGGAGACGCCUUUUUUAUAGACUAACUUUGCUUUAUUCAUUCCCAGGUAAAAAUAGAAAAGCCCGAAGUGUAAUGGACAAAAUUUUCCAUCUCUACCCUCUUCUUACAAAGUAGUUAUCCAGGAUUCUGUUUGGUUGGAAAAGGUGAGAACGAAUAUUCAGCAAUAAUUCAAGAAUCAUCAAAGGCACCCAAUUGAGGCAGUUAAUGUCGAUGGCUUCGGUGUUUUUAUAUCAUGUCGUGGGAGAUCUGACGGUGGGAAAGCCGGAGGUGGUGGAAUUCUGCGAGACUGAAACGGUGGAAUCGGCGAUUCGGGCAAUCGGAGAGUCGAAGGAUUGUGGAAUUCCCGUGUGGAAGAGGAGAUCGCAUGUGGGUAUGAUUGAGAAUACCGAAAUGAGGCAACAGNNNNGGGAAUCCUUAAUUCUCUAGAUAUUGUGGCCUUUUUGGCUAGAGCUCAGUGCUUGGAGGAUCAGGAGAAGGCCAUGAAG
This 755-nucleotide unclassified non-coding RNA is filed under the name Hevea brasiliensis (rubber tree). Lineage: Eukaryota; Viridiplantae; Streptophyta; Magnoliopsida; Malpighiales; Euphorbiaceae. The record is from RNAcentral.